CCACACCUGAGGCAUAUGGAGGGUCCCAGGCUAGAGGUCGAAUCAGAGCUACAGCUGCCAGCCUGUACUGCAGCAACUGCAACGUCAGAUCCGAGCCACUUCUGUAACCUACACCACAGCUCAUGGCAAUGCCAGAUCCUUAACCCACUGAGUGAGGCCAGGGAUCAAACCCGCAACCUCAUGGUUCCUAGUCAGAUUUGUUUCCACUGUGCCACGAAGGGAACUCUAGCAUGAGCUUUUUAAAAUAAUAAAUAGGAAUAUCUAUGUUUCCGAGUUUGGAAUCCUUUUGCUUUAAAAUGAGAUUCAUAAAUAUAAGAGGUUUCCAGCAGUAGAGAGAGUAAAAAUGAUGACAGAUCCUCCUACUAACAGCUUAUAUUUGAUUUUUCAUUAAUUUCAAAAAUGGAAAUAUUAAUGUAUUAUGUGGCUCACCAGAGAGAAAAGAUAACUUCCAAAGGUUUAAAUUAAUAUUAAAAUAAAAAUAAUAAAUCUAUACCUAUGUAAUACAAAUAAGGAUACAUUUAACAGAAUGUUUAAAACUUUAGUAAAUUAAUAAAAUUCUAUGAAAUUUAUUCAAAAAUUCUCAGAUGCUAGAUAUACAAUUGCUGAUAAAUGCCAGCCUCGAUGAAUAAAUAUAUAAAUUAUCUCCAAAUAUUUAAUACCUCCAUUAUAUUUCUUUAAAAAUCCCCAAGUUUCAUGGAGUGUUGUGAUCUGAUUUCAAAAUAUCUGUGAAAGAACAAUGACAUGAAGAGUCAGUAGAUGAAAUCAAAGUUCAUGUGUUAGGAUUAGGCCUAUCAGAUAUCAAGACACAUACACUUUUAAAAAUUAAGGUAGAUCUGUAAAUAAAUACACAGAAAUUUAUGAAAUUAGGAACCUUAAUUUAGGAAGAGUGUAUUGCAUAUAACAUGGAAAAAAUUGUUGCCAGAGCAAUUGUUUAUCCAUAUGGACACAAAAAUUAAAUGGGAUUGCUAACUUUCUUCUGUAUAUUAGAGCUAUAUGCGCCAGAUGGAUUAAAGACAACUGAGAAAAGCAAAAUUUUAAAACUUAAAAGUUUUGGAUAGAAUAUACUAAAAUCUCAGUGCAGGAAAUGGUUUCUUAAACAGUAAUAUAACUAUGAAAAAAGAGUUUUGUAAUAUUCAAAUAAAAUAACAUUUAAUAUAACUAUGAAAAAGUUAUCUCCUUUAAAUCAGGGGGCAAUAUUUGGAAAAUAUAUAGCAGAUAUUAAGAUGAUCUAGUAUAUCUCUAUUUUAAAAAGUCCUACAGAUUCUUAGGAGAAAAAGCAUGAUCCUCUUAGAAAAACACACAAAAUCCAGUUAUUUAUAGAAGCAGCAGCAUGAGUGGAUCACAGCGCCCAUCUUCUCUGGUAGAAACUGCUAGUUGUUGGACCCAUUUCACUGCUACAUCCGUUCUCCCCUCUGUACUCUUUGAAUGGCAGAGCACAUAGUCGGAGCCUUAGAAAAAUCAUGGUUCUUCACCUAAAAGCCCCAGCCAUUCUUGCAUCAGGCACCGUCAUGAGACUGAGGCAUCUUGACAAAGAGAUGUGAGUAGAAGUAACAUGUUCGAAUUAUGGGUCAACUCCUUGAAAUGGAAGCGUCUCAUCUUUUUCACUUUUUCCCCUUUCAAUCAAACUGGAUUUCAUACGUCUGUUGGAGAUUAGCUUUCCACUAAGGCUAAGAGAAACCUGGGAAAUGGUGAGAUAAAAAGGGCCAGAAUCCAUGGUCGAUUAAUGGAACCAAACUACCUUCCUUCCAUGGGCUAGCCCCCUACUAAGUUGUGGCAGAAAGCAUUAAUGCCUUGCUUGUUUGAGUUAUUGGACAUUUUUUGUUAUAGCACCUUUAAUUAAUAACCAGAAUUAGCCAUGGAAGUGAACUGAAAGAUUUUGGCACAUAUUAUGAUGCCAUGAGAAAUUACUUUCACUGAAUAAAAGGGGAGAUAGACAGGAUACCUACAAAGCCUGCAAAAAAGCCUAAAUAUUGAUAUUUAUUUAAAUUCCUACCUGCUUUAACAGGGUAGUAUAAGCUGGAUUAACAAACCAGAAAGAUAGGGAAGGAAUGCCAUUCUAUUAAAGAGGCUCUCUUUGUCUGCAGUUCCAAUCUAAAUUAACUGAGAAUCCUCUGACAUGGAGACUUGCAGGGUUAUAAAAGCCAACUGCUUCUGUCCACCGAGCAGCUGUUGAUAAGAUUAUGGUGCCAACACAUCAAUGUGCUUGGACAUAAAAUGGUAGCCAACUCAGCUGCAAAGAUUAGAUUAUGUAUGUUGCCUGUUCACUCAUCCUGUUAUUUCACAUCGCCUUGAGGUGGCUGCGUUACAAUGAGUAUAGAUGUCAGUAAAUAAAGACAGUCAUCCAGGCUUAAGAACUGGUCCGGGUAGAUGUCUGAUUGUACUGUAAUUUCCUUCACAUGGAACUGAAGGGAAGCAAAGAAAUCAGAAGCCUCCCGAGUUUUUGCGGAAAUCGUUUGGUCCAGAAACACUUCGGCUUGAAAGCCUGUGAUUGUUCAGGCAAACUGAAGUCUGCAAACCUCAACUGAGAGGGGACUGGUUAUUAAAAUUCUGCCACACCAACAAGGUAUAAUCUCCAUUGAGGGAGGGAGCCUGUCACAGAGCACAGCUCUCCCUUUAAAGUCAUUCCGGAGUUCCCGUCGUGGCGCAGUGGUUAACGAAUCCGACUAGGAGCCAUGAGGUUGCAGGUUCAGUCCCUGCCCUUGCUCAGUGGGUUAAGGAUCCAGCGUUGCCGUGAGCUGUGGUGUAGGUUGCAGAUGCGGCUCGGAUCCCGCGUUGCUGUGGCUCUGGCGUAGGCUGGUGGCUACAGCUCCGCUUUGACCCCUAGCCUAGGAACCUCCAUAUGCCGCGGGAGCGGCCCAAAGAAAUAGCACAAAGACAAAAAAAAAAAAAAAAAAAAAAAAGAAGUCAUUCCAACAUUGGCAAAGGGAGGAUUCAUGCUGCCCACCCAGCAGAUUUUAUAAAUGACUAGUGACUAUACCCCCCACCUCCCUUUUCACACUUGUGUUAUUAAUGCAGUUACCUUAU
This 3024-nucleotide long non-coding RNA is filed under the name Sus scrofa (pig). RNAcentral describes it as "lncRNA (ENSSSCG00000062297.1)". The record is from RNAcentral. Lineage: Eukaryota; Metazoa; Chordata; Mammalia; Artiodactyla; Suidae.